Molecule: ribosomal RNA, 246 nt
Filed under: uncultured bacterium
Lineage: Bacteria
Description: partial 16S rRNA
Rfam family: Bacterial small subunit ribosomal RNA
Source: RNAcentral
GUGCCAGCCGCCGCGGUAAUACGUAGGUGGCAAGCGUUGUCCGGAUUUAUUGGGCGUAAAGCAUGUGCAGGCGGUUUCUUAAGUGUGAUGUGAAAUCCCAGGGCUUAACCUGGGGGGUUCAUUUCAAACUGGAUGACUUGAGUGCAGGAGAGGAAAGUAGAAUUCCAAGUGUAGCGGUGAAAUGCGUAGAGAUUAGGAAGAAAACCAGUGGCGAAGGCGACUUUCUGGACUGAAACUGACGCUGAG